GCAUAUCAAUAAGCGGAGGAAAAGAAACCAACAGGGAUUGCCCCAGUAACGGCGAGUGAAGCGGCAACAGCUCAAAUUUGAAAUCUGGCCCUCUGGGUCCGAGUUGUAAUUUGCAGAGGAUGCUUUUGGCGAGGUGCCUUCCGAGUUCCCUGGAACGGGACGCCAUAGAGGGUGAGAGCCCCGUACGGUCGGAUACCGAGCCUCUGUAUAGCUCCUUCGACGAGUCGAGUAGUUUGGGAAUGCUGCUCUAAAUGGGAGGUAAAUCUCUUCUAAAGCUAAAUACCGGCCACAGACCGAUAGCGCACAAGUAGAGUGAUCGAAAGAUGAAAAGCACUUUGAAAAGAGAGUUAAACAGCACGUGAAAUUGUUGAAAGGGAAGCGCUUGUGACCAGACUUGCGCUAGGCAGUUCAGCCCUCGUUCUCGUGGGUGUAUUCUGUCUAGCACAGGCCAGCAUCAGUUCAUCGUCAGGGAGAAAGGCUUUGGGAAUGUGGCUCUUCGGAGUGUUAUAGCCCAUUGUGUAAUACCUAUCGUUGGACUGAGGUUCGCGCUCUGCAAGGAUGCUGGCGUAAUGGUCAUCAGCGACCCGUCUUGAAACACGGACCAAGGAGUCGUCCUAGUAUGCGAGUGUACGGGUGUAAAACCCCUGCGCGAAAUGAAAGUGAACGGAGGUGAGAGCCUUUGGCGCAUCAUCGACCGAUCCUGAUGUCUUCGGAUGGAUUUGAGUAAGAGCAUACUGGGCCGGACCCGAAAGAAGGUGAACUAUGCCUGUAUAGGGUGAAGCCAGAGGAAACUCUGGUGGAGGCUCGCAGCGGUUCUGACGUGCAAAUCGAUCGUCAAAUAUGGGCAUGGGGGCGAAAGACUAAUCGAACCUUCUAGUAGCUGGUUUCUGCGA
Molecule: ribosomal RNA, 893 nt
Filed under: Triadelphia stilboidea
Lineage: Eukaryota; Fungi; Ascomycota; Sordariomycetes
Description: LSU rRNA
Rfam family: Eukaryotic large subunit ribosomal RNA
Source: RNAcentral